CACUCCUGCGGGAGGCAGCAGUGGGGAAUUUUGGACAAUGGGCGAAAGCCUGAUCCAGCAAUGCCGCGUGAGUGAAGAAGGCCUUCGGGUUGUAAAGCUCUUUUGUCAGGGAAGAAACGGUGAAAGCUAAUAUCUUUUGCUAAUGACGGUACCUGAAGAAUAAGCACCGGCUAACUACGUGCCAGCAGCCGCGGUAAUACGUAGGGUGCAAGCGUUAAUCGGAAUUACUGGGCGUAAAGCGUGCGCAGGCGGUUUUGUAAGUCUGAUGUGAAAUCCCCGGGCUCAACCUGGGAAUUGCAUUGGAGACUGCAAGGCUAGAAUCUGGCAGAGGGGGGUAGAAUUCCACGUGUAGCAGUGAAAUGCGUAGAUAUGUGGAGGAACACCGAUGGCGAAGGCAGCCCCCUGGGUCAAGAUUGGCGCUCAUGCACGAAAGCGUGGGGAGCAAACAGGAUUAGAAACCCGUGUAGUCCCA
RNAcentral lists this ribosomal RNA (472 nucleotides) under uncultured organism. Its description in RNAcentral is "partial 16S ribosomal RNA". It matches the Rfam family "Bacterial small subunit ribosomal RNA", at positions 334 to 797 of the family's 1533-position model. The record is from RNAcentral.